Molecule: ribosomal RNA, 468 nt
Filed under: uncultured bacterium
Lineage: Bacteria
Description: partial 16S ribosomal RNA
Rfam family: Bacterial small subunit ribosomal RNA
Source: RNAcentral
AACGAACGCUGGCGGCGUGCUUAACACAUGCAAGUCGAACGGAAAGGCCCUGCUUUUGUGGGGUUCUCGAGUGGCGAACGGGUGAGUAACACGUGAGUAACCUGCCCUUGACUUUGGUAUAACUUCAGGAAACUGGAGCUAAUACCGUAUAGGAGCUCCUGCUGCAUGGUGGGGGUUGGAAAGUUUCGGCGGUUGGGGAUGGACGCGCGGCUUAUCAGCUUGUUGGUGGGGUAGUGGCUUACCAAGGGUUUGACGGGUAGCCGGCCUGAGAGGGUGACCGGCCACAUUGGGACUGAGAUACGGACCAGACUCCUACGGGAGGCAGCAGUGGGGAAUAUUGCCCAAUGGGCGGAAGCCUGAUGCAGCAACGCUGCGUGCGGGAUGACGGCCUUCGGGUUGUAAACCGCUUUCGCCUGUGACGAAGCGUGAGUGACGGUAAUGGGUAAAGAAGCACCGGCUAACUACGUG